GACGAACGCUGGCGGCGCGCUUAACACAUGCAAGUCGAGCGAUGAAAUCUUGACAGAACCCUUCGGGGUGAAGAUAAGAUGGAUUAGCGGCGGACGGGUGAGUAACACGUGAGUAACCUGCCUUAGACAUUGGGAUAGCCUCGGGAAACCGGGAUUAAUACCAAAUGAAAUCACAUAUGCACAUGCAUAAAUGAUCAAAGCUCCGGCGGUCUAAGAUGGACUCGCGUCCCAUUAGCUAGUUGGUGAGGUAACGGCCCACCAAGGCGACGAUGGGUAGCCGGCUUGAGAGAGUGUACGGCCACAUUGGGACUGAGACACGGCCCAAACUCCUACGGGAGGCAGCAGUGGGGAAUUUUGCACAAUGGGGGAAACCCUGAUGCAGCGACGCCGCGUGAUUUAGAAGGCCUUCGGGUUGUAAAAAUCUUUUUUAUGGGAUGAAAAUGACAGUACCAUAAGAAUAAGGUCCGGCUAAAUACGUGCCAGCAGCCGCGGUAAUACGUAUGGACCGAGCGUUGUCCGGAAUCAUUGGGCGUAAAGGGUACGUAGGCGGCCCAGUAAGUUAGAAGUGAAAUAAUAUAGCUCAACUAUAUAAAGCUUUUAAAACUGCUAGGCUUGAGAGAUGGAAGGGAAAGUGGAAUUCCUAGUGUAGCGGUGAAAUGCGCAGAUAUUAGGAAGAAUACCGGUGGCGAAGGCGACUUUCUGGUCAUCAUCUGACGCUGAGGUACGAAAGCGUGGGUAGCAAACAGGAUUAGAUACCCUGGUAGUCCACGCUGUAAACGAUGAGUGUUAGGUUCUUGGAAUAAUCUGGGAGCCGCAGCUAACGCAUUAAACACUCCGCCUGGGGAGUACGCACGCAAGUGUG
RNAcentral lists this ribosomal RNA (862 nucleotides) under uncultured Clostridia bacterium. RNAcentral describes it as "bacterial SSU rRNA". It matches the Rfam family "Bacterial small subunit ribosomal RNA", at positions 28 to 896 of the family's 1533-position model. Lineage: Bacteria; Bacillati; Bacillota; Clostridia. The record is from RNAcentral.